Molecule: transfer RNA, 84 nt
Filed under: Elusimicrobiota bacterium
Lineage: Bacteria; Pseudomonadati; Elusimicrobiota
Description: Elusimicrobia bacterium tRNA-Leu
Rfam family: tRNA
About the family: Transfer RNA (tRNA) molecules are approximately 80 nucleotides in length. Their secondary structure includes four short double-helical elements and three loops (D, anti-codon, and T loops).
Source: RNAcentral
GGGCAGGUGGCGAAACUGGCAAACGCAGGAGACUUAAAAUCUCCCGGCCGCAAGGCCAUGUGGGUUCGAUCCCCACCCUGCCCA